GCACAGAUUGGAUGAGAGUAGGCCC
RNAcentral lists this non-coding RNA (25 nucleotides) under Rattus norvegicus (Norway rat). Lineage: Eukaryota; Metazoa; Chordata; Mammalia; Rodentia; Muridae. The record is from RNAcentral.